RNAcentral lists this ribosomal RNA (450 nucleotides) under uncultured bacterium. RNAcentral describes it as "partial 16S ribosomal RNA". It matches the Rfam family "Bacterial small subunit ribosomal RNA", at positions 354 to 796 of the family's 1533-position model. The record is from RNAcentral.
GUGGGGAAUAUUGGACAAUGGGCGAAAGCCUGAUCCAGCCAUGCCGCGUGUGUGAAGAAGGUCUUCGGAUUGUAAAGCACUUUAAGUUGGGAGGAAGGGUAGUAACCUAAUACGUUGCUACUUUGACGUUACCGACAGAAUAAGCACCGGCUAACUUCGUGCCAGCAGCCGCGGUAAUACGAAGGGUGCAAGCGUUAAUCGGAAUUACUGGGCGUAAAGCGCGCGUAGGUGGUUUUGUAAGUUGGAGGUGAAAUCCCCGGGCGCAACCUGGGAACUGCCUCCAAAACUGCAUGACUAGAGUACGGUAGAGGGUAGUGGAAUUUCCUGUGUAGCGGUGAAAUGCGUAGAUAUAGGAAGGAACACCAGUGGCGAAGGCGACUACCUGGACUGAUACUGACACUGAGGUGCGAAAGCGUGGGGAGCAAACAGGAUUAGAAACCCCAGUAGUCC